Molecule: transfer RNA, 72 nt
Filed under: Phrynosoma platyrhinos (Desert horned lizard)
Lineage: Eukaryota; Metazoa; Chordata; Lepidosauria; Squamata; Phrynosomatidae
Description: tRNA-OTHER
Source: RNAcentral
ACCAGUGUGGUGUAGAGGUUUGUGUAUUGGACUAUGACUCUGGAGACCAGGGUUCGAAUCCCAGCUCAGCCA